Triticum dicoccoides is the source of this 330-nucleotide long non-coding RNA. RefSeq lists it as uncharacterized. The record is from RefSeq and is a predicted model, not a curated record. The transcript is spliced from 3 exons. Lineage: Eukaryota; Viridiplantae; Streptophyta; Magnoliopsida; Poales; Poaceae.
CGCCUAGUUCGAGCGUAGCCUUCGUGGUCUCCCUCUGCCUCCGCCACCAGAACAUCAUCACUGGCAGGAACAAUGUCUCUCCUUGAUGGGUUGUACAGGCGAGGUUAGGUGCAUCUCCUUUAUGGACAGCAGCGACUCGGCCGAACUAAUGCAGCGAAUAUAAUGCAAGAUGCAGUACUGAGAAGUCAGAUGGAUCUAAAUUGCCAAGAAGUGAUGAUGCUUGGGUCAGAUGUUGAUGGCAACGUCGAGAAUGUGGCCACUAUUAGAUAAUUAGAAUGUCAUAUUUAAGGUCAACGUUUCAACCAUUGUAGUUGAUUGCAAGGUUGACAA